This 496-nucleotide ribosomal RNA is filed under the name uncultured bacterium. RNAcentral's name for it is "bacterial SSU rRNA". It matches the Rfam family "Bacterial small subunit ribosomal RNA", at positions 899 to 1397 of the family's 1533-position model. The record is from RNAcentral.
ACUCAAAGGAAUAGACGGGGACCCGCACAAGCAGCGGAGCAUGUGGUUUAAUUCGAAGCAACGCGAAGAACCUUACCAAGACUUGACAUCGUCCGACCGGCGUAGAGAUACGCUUUCCCUUCGGGGCGGACAGACAGGUGGUGCAUGGUUGUCGUCAGCUCGUGUCGUGAGAUGUUCGGUUAAGUCCGGUAACGAGCGCAACCCUUAUGAUAUGUUGCCAAUAUUAAGUUAGGAACUCAUAUCAGACUGCCGUGGAUAAACACGGAGGAAGGUGGGGAUGACGUCAAAUCAUCAUGCCCCUUACGUCUUGGGCUACACACGUGCUACAAUGGGCGCUACAAAGAGCAGCGAGCUAGUAAUAGUAAGCGAAUCUCAAAAAAGUGCUCCCAGUUCGGAUUGAGGGCUGCAACCCGCCCUCAUGAAGCAGGAGUUGCUAGUAAUCCCGGAUCAGAACGCCGGGGUGAAUGCGUUCCCGGGUCUUGUACACACCGCCCGU